GACGAACGCUGGCGGCGUGCUUAACACAUGCAAGUCGAACGGAAAGGCCCUGCUUUUGUGGGGUGCUCGAGUGGCGAACGGGUGAGUAACACGUGAGUAACCUGCCCUUGACUUUGGGAUAACUUCAUGAAACUUGGUCUAAUACCGGCUAGGAGCUCCUGCUGCAUGGUGGGGGUUGGAAAGUUUCGGCGGUUGGGGAUGGACUCGCGGCUUAUCGGCUUGUUGGUGGGGUAGUGGCUUACCAAGGCUUUGACGGGUAGCCGGCCUGGGAGGGGGACCGGCCACAUUGGGACUGAGAUACGGCACAGACUCCUACGGGAGGCAGCAGUGGGGAAUAGUGCACAAUGGGCGGAAGCAUGAUGCAGCAACGCAGCGUGCGGGAUGACGGCCUUCGGGUUGUAAACCGCUUUCGCCUGUGACGAAGCGUGAGUGACGGUAAUGGGUAAAGAAGCACCGGCUAACUACGUG
Molecule: ribosomal RNA, 468 nt
Filed under: uncultured bacterium
Lineage: Bacteria
Description: partial 16S ribosomal RNA
Rfam family: Bacterial small subunit ribosomal RNA
Source: RNAcentral